CUCCGCGAGCGUUUGGUAGUGUGGUAGGUGAGUGGGUGUUGCGGGCUAGUACCCGAGCAAAAGAUGGUGGCGCAGGCCGAGUUAAGAGCUUUAAUCCUGUGAAGCCAUCUUGGUGAAGAGCUUAGAGUGCUGAGAGUUGAAAGCUUGCACGUGGGAAACGUGCGGCGCGACCGCCACAUGUACUGAGGUUGAAUCGUGACGGCCACAGGCUCCGAGUUUUGGCGUGAGGAGACCGCUGAUCGGCUACGGGCGCCGAACUUGCUGGCCUCAGGCAUGUGCCUGAGCGGCGGCGGAAAAACCACCUCAGUUGGGGCGGAGGGUUAGUUUUAAGAGCAAGGGGCCUUUACUAAAAUGGCGAAGGCCUUCCGUCGGCGUUGUUUUAAAAUGGGAAGCCUCGACCCAGUAUUGAGACAGCUGUUCGAAGGCGGCGUUGUGUGCAAUUCGGAUUAAUGAAGGGGAAGGGUUUUGUGUGGAAAAACACCUUGGAGUGUGACAUUUCUGCGAGAAUGCUUAAAUACCGAUUUCCCGCAGGAACAAUGGCGCUGUCUUCAGUGGCACAGCGGAGCAGUUCUGUGAAGAUGCAAAGAUACACGAAAAAAAUUCCAGAACAUCUGGGAGAAUAUUUAAUGGAAAAUCGCUUGGUUAAAACCUGACACUUAACAGUGAGGGUCGCUGUCUGCCCAUUGAUAGAGGCCAGAUUGUCUUGGAAGUUCCAAAGUUGCAACGAUUUCUUUGGUUGAAUCCGUGGACAUGAAACCCACAGAUACAGAGGGUCGGCCCGGUGCAGUGGCUCACGCCUGUAAUCCCAGCACUUUGGGAGGCCAAGGCAGGUGGAUCACCUGAGGUCAGAAGCUCGAGACCAGCCUGGCCAACAUGGUAAAACCCCAUCUCUACUAAUAAUACAAAAAAAAUUGCUGGGCAUGGUGGCGCACGCCUGUAAUCCAAGCUACUCCAGAGGCUGAGGCAGAAGAAUCGCUUGAAUCCGAGAGGCAGAGGUUGCAGUGAGCCCAGAUCACACCACUGCUCUC
RNAcentral lists this long non-coding RNA (1028 nucleotides) under Pongo abelii (Sumatran orangutan). RNAcentral's name for it is "lincRNA". Lineage: Eukaryota; Metazoa; Chordata; Mammalia; Primates; Hominidae. The record is from RNAcentral.